RNAcentral lists this ribosomal RNA (484 nucleotides) under uncultured bacterium. RNAcentral describes it as "partial 16S ribosomal RNA". It matches the Rfam family "Bacterial small subunit ribosomal RNA", at positions 30 to 507 of the family's 1533-position model. The record is from RNAcentral.
AUUGAACGCUGGCGGCAGGCCUAACACAUGCAAGUCGAGCGGAUGAAGGGAGCUUGCUCCUGGAUUCAGCGGCGGACGGGUGAGUAAUGCCUAUGAAUCUGCCUGGUAGCGGGGGAUAACGUCCGGAAACGGGCGCUAAUACCGCAUACGUCCUUAGGUCGAAAGUGGGGGAUCUUCGGACCUCAUGCUAUCAGAUUAGCCUAGGUCGCAUGAGCUAGUGGGUGGGGUAGAGGCCUAGCAAGGCGACGAUCCGUAACUGGUCUGAGUGGAAGAUCAGUCACACUGGAACAGAGACAGGGUCCAGACUCCUGCGGGAGGAAGCAGUGGGGAAUAUUAGACAAUGGGGGAAAGGCUGAUACUGCCAUACGGCGUGAGGGAUGAAGGUGUUCGGAUGGGAAAGCGCUGAAGGUUGUAAGGAAGGGCAGUACGUUAAUACGUUGCGAUAUUGACGGUACCGAGAGAAUAAGCACCGGCUAACUUCGUG